GACGAACGCUGGCGGCGUGCUUAACACAUGCAAGUCGAACGGAAAGGCCCUGCUUUUGUGGGGUGCUCGAGUGGCGAACGGGUGAGUAACACGUGAGUAACCUGCCCUUGACUUUGGGAUAACUUCAGGAAACUGGGGCUAAUACCGGAUAGGAGCUCCUGCUGCAUGGUGGGGGUUGGAAAGUUUCGGCGGUUGGGGAUGGACUCGCGGCUUAUCAGCUUGUUGGUGGGGUAGUGGCUUACCAAGGCUUUGACGGGUCGCCGGCCUGAGAGGGUGACCGGCCACAUUGGGACUGAGAUACGGCCCAGACUCCUACGGGAGGCAGCAGUGGGGAAUAUUGCACAAUGGGCGGAAGCCGGAUGCAGCAACGCCGCGUGCGGGAUGACGGCCUUCGGGUUGUAAACCGCUUUCGCCUGUGACGAAGCGUGAGUGACGGUAAUGGGUAAAGAAGCACCGGCUAACUACGUG
This 468-nucleotide ribosomal RNA is filed under the name uncultured bacterium. Its description in RNAcentral is "partial 16S ribosomal RNA". It matches the Rfam family "Bacterial small subunit ribosomal RNA", at positions 28 to 507 of the family's 1533-position model. The record is from RNAcentral.